AGCGAACGCUGGCGGCAUGCCUAACACAUGCAAGUCGAACGAGACCUUCGGGUCUAGUGGCGCACGGGUGCGUAACGCGUGGGAACCUGCCCUUAGGUUCGGAAUAACUCCCCGAAAGGGGUGCUAAUACCGGAUAAUGUCUUCGGACCAAAGAUUUAUCGCCUUUGGAUGGGCCCGCGUUGGAUUAGCUAGUUGGUAGGGUAAAAGCCUACCAAGGCGACGAUCCAUAGCUGGUCUGAGAGGAUGAUCAGCCACACUGGGACUGAGACACGGCCCAGACUCCUACGGGAAGCAGCAGUGGGGAAUAUUGGACAAUGGGCGAAAGCCUGAUCCAGCAAUGCCGCGUGAGUGAUGAAGGCCUUAGGGUUGUAAAGCUCUUUUACCCGGGAUGAUAAUGACAGUACCGGGAGAAUAAGCUCCGGCUAACUCCGUG
RNAcentral lists this ribosomal RNA (433 nucleotides) under uncultured bacterium. RNAcentral describes it as "partial 16S ribosomal RNA". It matches the Rfam family "Bacterial small subunit ribosomal RNA", at positions 29 to 507 of the family's 1533-position model. The record is from RNAcentral.